GCAUUCAGGGAUCAGUUUUUAAGAACAACUUAGUGGGUGGGGGGAAGCCAGUGAGCCGGGAGUGCUGAUUGGUCUGGUCAGAGAUGAAAUCAUAAGGAGUGAAGCUGUCUUCUUGCACUGAGUCAGUUCCUGGUUGGGGGCCACAAGAUCAUAUGAGCCAUUUUAUCAAUCCAGGUGGUGUCAGCUGAUCCAUCAAGUGCAGGUUCACAAGUCUUCAGGUUGAAAAGCUACACCCUAGGAACUACAGCUGAGGAGCCCACCUCCACAUCUGGAACUUAUUCAGAUGAUGAGAUCAUGGACCUUGAUCCUGAGUCUGACGCUGUAAUGUGCUGAAUUUUGCUGGGUGGGUAAGAGUAUCAAGGAGUGCCUCCUCUUGAGUCUGGGUGGCCUCUGCGAUUGCUUUGACCAAUAGAAUACUGCAGAAGUGACACUGUGCUACUUUCCAAGCCCAGGAAAUUCAGACUGGUAACUACUAUUUCCUGCCUCUUGGGAACACUGUCCCUUGGAGCCCACCACGUAUUUGGCUGGAGAGAUCAUAUUAAAACUACACGGAGAGAUAGAGGGGCCUAAAUGAAGCCAGCUUUCCAGCCACUCCUGCCAAGGCUUAAGGAAUAUGAGUGAAGGCUCAAGGCAUGUGAGUGAAUACCAUGCAGUGACCCCAACUGACUUCAUGUGGAACAGCAGAAGUGACCUGCCUAGCCCUGACUGAAUACCUGACCCACACAAUUAUGAGAAAUAAUAAAAUGGUUGUUGGGUUAAGCCACUAAGCUUUGGGGUAGUUUGUUACAUAGCAGUGGAUGACUGAAAUACUCCAUGACUUUGGGUCAGUGUCUCCUCUCUAGAACUAUUUCCCCAACUUCAGCAGUGUUAGGCUAGGUUAGGUGAACUCUAAAGGCCUUUAUAGCUCUGAUUUUCAGUUCCGAUGAAGACUAGUUGAAGUAGGUUGGGCUGCUUCUGAUGGCAUGUAGACAUUUGUUGGAUUACCAGAGGAACACACAAUUUAUAUAAUUAGGUACGCAGGCU
Molecule: long non-coding RNA, 1023 nt
Filed under: Homo sapiens (human)
Lineage: Eukaryota; Metazoa; Chordata; Mammalia; Primates; Hominidae
Description: HSALNT0292130
Source: RNAcentral